This 1288-nucleotide long non-coding RNA is filed under the name Numida meleagris (helmeted guineafowl). RNAcentral's name for it is "lncRNA (ENSNMEG00000008925.1)". The record is from RNAcentral. Lineage: Eukaryota; Metazoa; Chordata; Aves; Galliformes; Numididae.
CCCUGCAGGUAGAGGAGAAUCUGUAACAAGACUGGGAAGGAAAGAGGAGACAAGUUCUCUUUACCAUUCCAUGGGAAAAUAAGCUGGUGGAUUAUCAUCUGGAAACUGUGUGAAGUGCCAAGAUGAACGAUGAGAGGCUGGAGAACCCUGGUCCCUCCCCACUGACUGAAGGUCUGAAGAGAAAGAGAGGAAGACCAAAGAAGCAGCUGCAGGAGGAAGCUGUGGGACCACUGCCAGAGAAAAAGCCACGAGGAAGGCCAAAAGGAAGCAAGAAAGUGAGCAGUGUAACUGGACAAAUGGUAGAACCUCCUGCUGGGAAGAGGCCCCGAGGAAGGCCCCGCAAGUGGCCUCAGCUGGUGAUGCAAGAAAGAGCAUCUCGGGAAGGCAGUCCUCGGGGAAGUGGUGACUUGGAUGCGAACUCGGCGCCUGCCGCACAAGGUUAGAAAUUAGACAGCCGGAAUCCCCCAGGGCUGAGCGUGGAACCACGCUCCUUGCAAACCACGCGCGUGGCCCCACAGCUGCAGCACCGGCUGCAACCCUUCUGCAAAUCCUACCAACAGAGGAGUGUUUGGAAGGGCUCCAGAAACACGGGAGGGAAACGCAUUUCUUCCAUCUGAUUUGGUGGUGACUACUUGAGCAGAAGGGGAGGCAGAAAGCAGGGGAUGGGAAGAGUCUCUAUAUUUAUCUUAAUAAGAAGUCAUUUAUCUGCGGUGAUGGCUGCUGUCGCAGUACGGCUGAGUGAAAUUGUCAGGCUGUGUUAAGAUAGCGGGCUCUCCUUUUCUACGUGAAGGUCUUACCUACCUAAAACUGUGAAGAGCCCUCAGCAUUUGGGGUGUGCUGCAGUUGCAGAUUUGUGCCAGCCUGUUCCUGGUAGUCGUGCUCUCUCCUUCCGGGCCGCACUCUGCAGCAGCACCAUGGGAGAUGCUCGUGCAUCAGCAGCACAGCAGUGAUGGCACUGGCAUGUUUCUAUGCGGGGCUGGGAGUUGCAUAAGCUGCUCUGAGAUGAGGUGACAGAUAACUGUGUCACUGUCAUGGGAACACACAGAUGCACCAUCCAGAGCGUCGGUUGCACUGCAGUCGUGGGAAAGUGCAAACUCAAUCCAGCCUGUACGACUAAGGGCUGCCCCAAGCUAUGGGCCAGCAAAACCUGCACGCAGCUGAGCCCUACCUCCAGCGAGCAUCACAGGAGGUGAUUCAUUACAUGCUUUCCCCUGAGUGGGAGGUGGCAGAGAGCCAGCAGCCCAGGAGAGACAGAUGUUGCCUUGCUUUGCCAUGUGGUCAGCACAGC